This 253-nucleotide ribosomal RNA is filed under the name uncultured bacterium. RNAcentral's name for it is "partial 16S ribosomal RNA". It matches the Rfam family "Bacterial small subunit ribosomal RNA", at positions 524 to 776 of the family's 1533-position model. The record is from RNAcentral.
UACGUAGGCAGCGAGCGUUGUUCGGAAUUACUGGGCGUAAAGAGUGUGUAGGCGGUUAGUUAAGUCUGGCGUGAAAGCUCUCGGCUAAACCGGGAGAGGUCGUUGGAUACUGGCUGACUAGAGGACGGUAGAGGCGUGUGGAAUUCCGGGUGUAGUGGUGAAAUGCGUAGAGAUCCGGAGGAACACCAGUGGCGAAGGCGACACGCUGGGCCGUACCUGACGCUAAAGCGCGACAGCAUGGGGAGCAAACGGG